GUGUGCUGCCCCAUCUUUGCCCCAGGAAAUAUCACCUGUCCAUCAGGAAGAGCCAAACACUCGCCCACACCUGGCCCGGGAGGGAGGCAGGCCGCAGCAGAGAGCAGGCUGGCUGUCGGGAGAAGCCAGCUCAUCUGAGUGCAUUUACUAAGACAUUCGCUCACUUGGUCAACACACAUUUACUUAUUAUAUAAUCCGAGGGGCAGUGUGGCUUAGGGGAGGGCCUGGGGCCAGCCUGGCUGUCUCAUUUCCUGACGGCCACUCACUGGCUGUCAAGCAAGUUGCUUAACCUCCCCAUGCCUCAGUCUCCCCAACUGUGAAAUGGGGGAGAGUAGUGGUGUCUGCUCACAGCUGGUGAGGAAUGAAUGAAUGAAUACCUAUGAGGGUCUGUCAAACAUGGAGUCCUGCUCAAGGUUGGUCGAGGGCAUGGGGCACGUGGCCCACGUCAGACCAAUCAGACCAGUUCUCCAAGGACACAAAGGCUCAAAACGGUGGAUGCUCCCCCCGCCCCCAGGUGUGUCCCGAGAGACUGGGCAUGGUGUCUCCAUCUGGACCCCUGAGGCUGCCUGGCGCACUCUGCUCUUUUCGAAGGCCGUCCACUCUUCGGUGAUCCUGAGCACCCCUUAGUCUUCCAACGCAGUCCUCUUUCCCCACUAAAAUCAGCCAGAGUGGGUUUCUGUUGCUUGCGUCCCAAGAACCCUAACUGAUGGAAGCCCCUGCGGUCGAGACAGGCCAGAGGCGGAUGGCUUUCAUCUGGGGUUUGGCCUCCUCCUCUGGCAACAGAGCCCAGCCCCUGGGGCAGACCCACCAGGGAUGGCUGUGGGGACCCAAGAAGGGCCUUCAUCUAGCCUGUGGGAUCAGAGAAGACUUCCUGGAGGAGAUGACGCCUGGGGCAGGCGGCACUGGAAACAGAGCCUACGGCCCUUGCUGAUGAGCUCAGAGAUGUCACCAGGUGCCACCAACGUUCACGGACAUCGCAGAGACCAACCAAGUGCAGACCUUGGGAGGCCCUGUGGGGUCCUAGAGACAGAGGCGCGGUCCGCGGGGAGGAGUCACAGCCUGAGCAUGGCCAGCGGUCGUGGUCAGAAGCAGCCUGUGGGUCGGUGCACCGAUAGUCCAGGGGCUUUCUCCUGCAAACCCCCUCUCCGGGGCUGCUUUGUUCUGCCUUCCCUCGUGGUCUCUCUGCUUCUCCUGAGUCUUGGCUCUUGUCCCGACAAGUUCAGGCUGGUAGUCUGGAGUCAGAGCCCCGGGCGGGAGGGAGGGGAGCGAGCAGAGAGCAGGAGCAGGGGCUGGGGCUGAGCUGCGAGGAGGGGCUCGGAAUCCGUGGCUAUGGAAGAGUCUAAGCCAGGGGAGUGAGCACGGACUGGGGCUGGUGGCCUCUCUAGUCGCUGCCUCAGUACCUUCUGUCUAAGCUUCCCUUCCCAGCUCUGAAGAGCACUUUGGGCAAACCCCAAGUUUUCUCACCACUUCAGACGCUCGAGUCCAGCUCACUCUCUGCAGUCUCCG
Molecule: long non-coding RNA, 1506 nt
Filed under: Equus caballus (horse)
Lineage: Eukaryota; Metazoa; Chordata; Mammalia; Perissodactyla; Equidae
Description: lncRNA (ENSECAG00000059437.1)
Source: RNAcentral